UAACGCGUCGGGCAACCUCGCCUCAGUACAGGGGGAUAGCAUCGGGAAACUGGUGGUAAAACCGCGAUAAGCGCACGAAGACGCAUGUAUUCGUGUGAAAAGGAGAAAUCUGGUAUGAGAUGGACCCGCGUCUGAUUAGCUAGUUGGAGUGGUAAAAGCACACCAAGGCGACGAUCAGUAGCCGGCCUGAGAGGGUGGACGGCCACAUUGGGACUGAGACACGGCCCAGACUCCUACGGGAGGCAGCAG
RNAcentral lists this ribosomal RNA (249 nucleotides) under uncultured bacterium. Its description in RNAcentral is "partial 16S ribosomal RNA". It matches the Rfam family "Bacterial small subunit ribosomal RNA", at positions 111 to 354 of the family's 1533-position model. The record is from RNAcentral.